UACGUAGGGCGCAAGCGUUGUCCGGAAUUAUUGGGCGUAAAGGGCUCGUAGGUGGCCAACUAAGUCAGACGUGAAAUCCCUCAGCUUAACUGGGGAACUGCGUCUGAUACUGGAUGGCUUGAGUUUGGGAGAGGGACGCGGAAUUCCAGGUGUAGCGGUGAAAUGCGUAGAUAUCAGGAGGAACACCAGUGGCGAAGGCGGCUUUCUGGACGGUGACUGACGCUGAGACGCGAAAGCGUGGGGAGCAAACAGG
This 253-nucleotide ribosomal RNA is filed under the name uncultured bacterium. RNAcentral's name for it is "partial 16S ribosomal RNA". It matches the Rfam family "Bacterial small subunit ribosomal RNA", at positions 524 to 776 of the family's 1533-position model. The record is from RNAcentral.